Molecule: long non-coding RNA, 399 nt
Filed under: Bos taurus (domestic cattle)
Lineage: Eukaryota; Metazoa; Chordata; Mammalia; Artiodactyla; Bovidae
Description: long non-coding RNA NONBTAT012220
Source: RNAcentral
UUUUUUUGAUUGAAAGUGAAAGGAUUGAAGAGUUGGAAGAGAUCUCAAAAGACUAUGCAUGUCUCUAUUUAGAUCACACCAGCUGGUUAUUGGCCUUAUUCUUGGAGUCCAGAGAUGUGUUCCAAUGAGGUGGCAACUGAUACAUGGUUAUAAGUAUGACUAGCUUCAUGUCAAGACAUACCCUUGAAAGUUAUACAAGAAAAAUCACAAUUUUCUAAAUCAAAUACUUAUAAAACAGUUGUUAGAAUAUGCUAUUGAAAGACUCCUAGGGUGACUGCUCCUUUGCAAAACAGGUAACCACUCCCAAAUUUACAUGGUCUGCAAACCCCAAUUUUCACACAUCUGCUUUGAUUCAAGCUUAAUAUCCUUUCCUGAAUGCAGUUCAUUUUCAUCUCCUGA